AUACGUAGGAGGCGAGCGUUGUCCAGAUUUACUGGGCGUAAAGGGCGAGUAGGCGGCAUGUCAAGUCUCAUGUGAAAUCUCCCGGCUCAACUGGGAGGCGCCAUGGGAAACUGGCAAGCUUGAGGGCAGCAGAGGAGAGUGGAAUUCCCGGAGUAGCGGUGAAAUGCGUAGAUACCGGGAGGAACACCCGAGGCGAAGGCGACUCUCUGGGCUGCUCCUGACGCUGAGGCGCGAAAGCAUGGGGAGCGAACCGGAUUAGAAACCCGUGUAGUCC
RNAcentral lists this ribosomal RNA (274 nucleotides) under uncultured bacterium. RNAcentral describes it as "partial 16S ribosomal RNA". It matches the Rfam family "Bacterial small subunit ribosomal RNA", at positions 523 to 796 of the family's 1533-position model. The record is from RNAcentral.